GUCCCCAACACAUGGAAUGCGACUCACCUUAAAUUUUAUUACAGUUGAAAUUAUUGUUUACAUUUACGAACAAUGUUAUGUUCCUUCACAUAUUUUUCAAUGAAGUAUUCCAGUUCCAGCAUAUGCUUUGUAUAGGUAAAAGAUGGGCGCCAUGCCCCCUAGAUUAUUCAAUCUAGGUAAAAGAUGGGCGCCAUGCCCCCUAGAUUCUUCAAUCUAGGUAAAAGAUGGGCGCCAUGCCCCCUAGAUUCUUCAAUCUAGGUAGAAGAUGGGCGCCAUGCCCCCUAGAUUCUUCAAUCUAGGUAAAAGAUGGGCGCCAUGCCCCCUAGAUUCUUCAAUCUAGGUAAAAGACGGGCGCCAUGCCCACAAGAUUUUCA
This 374-nucleotide long non-coding RNA is filed under the name Vigna radiata. RNAcentral's name for it is "long non-coding RNA (VRAD_LNC015142)". Lineage: Eukaryota; Viridiplantae; Streptophyta; Magnoliopsida; Fabales; Fabaceae. The record is from RNAcentral.